RNAcentral lists this small RNA (77 nucleotides) under Salix viminalis (osier). The record is from RNAcentral. Lineage: Eukaryota; Viridiplantae; Streptophyta; Magnoliopsida; Malpighiales; Salicaceae.
CCUUGGAGAGAAUGGUGGAUUAUCAUCGUGCUCGAGAAGAUGAAGCAUCUCUUGAAGCAGCAGAAAUUCAGCUGCGG